RNAcentral lists this ribosomal RNA (1137 nucleotides) under Phaeosphaeria sinensis. RNAcentral's name for it is "SSU rRNA". It matches the Rfam family "Eukaryotic small subunit ribosomal RNA", at positions 19 to 1188 of the family's 1831-position model. The record is from RNAcentral. Lineage: Eukaryota; Fungi; Ascomycota; Dothideomycetes; Pleosporales; Phaeosphaeriaceae.
GGUGAUGAAAGACACAAGGGCGCCAAGAUCAGCCAUGCAUGUCUAGUAUAGCAUAUACCGUGAAACUGCGAAUGGCUCAUAAAUCAGUAUCGUUUAUUUGAUAGUACCUUACUACUUGGAUAACCGUGGUAAUUCUAGAGCUAAUACAUGCUGAAAACCCCAACUUCGGGAGGGGUGUAUAUAUUAGAUAAAAAACCAACGCCYUUCGGGGCUUCUUGGUGAUUCAUGAUAUCUUUACGGAUCGCAUGGCCCUUGCGCCGGCGACGGUUCAUUCAAAUUUCUGCCCUAUCAACUUUCGAUGGUAAGGUAUUGGCUUACCAUGGUUUCAACGGGUAACGGGGAAUUAGGGUUCGAUUCCGGAGAGGGAGCCUGAGAAACGGCUACCACAUCCAAGGAAGGCAGCAGGCGCGCAAAUUACCCAAUCCCGACACGGGGAGGUAGUGACAAUAAAUACUGAUACAGGGCUCUUUUGGGUCUUGUAAUUGGAAUGAGUACAAUUUAAACCUCUUAACGAGGAACAAUUGGAGGGCAAGUCUGGUGCCAGCAGCCGCGGUAAUUCCAGCUCCAAUAGCGUAUAUUAAAGUUGUUGCAGUUAAAAAGCUCGUAGUUGAACCUUGGGUCUGGCUGGCAGGUCCGCCUCACCGCGUGUACUUGUCCGGCCGGGCCUUCCUUCUGGAGAACCUCAUGCCCUUCACUGGGCGUGUUGGGGACCAGGACUUUUACUUUGAAAAAAUUAGAGUGUUCAAAGCAGGCCUUUGCUCGAAUACGUUAGCAUGGAAUAAUAGAAUAGGACGUGCGGUCCUAUUUUGUUGGUUUCUAGGACCGCCGUAAUGAUUAAUAGGGACAGUCGGGGGCAUCAGUAUUCAAUUGUCAGAGGUGAAAUUCUUGGAUUUAUUGAAGACUAACUACUGCGAAAGCAUUUGCCAAGGAUGUUUUCAUUAAUCAGUGAACGAAAGUUAGGGGAUCGAAGACGAUCAGAUACCGUCGUAGUCUUAACCGUAAACUAUGCCGACUAGGGAUCGGGCGAUGUUCUUUUUCUGACUCGCUCGGCACCUUACGAGAAAUCAAGUUUUGGUCUGGGGGAGUAUGGUCGCAAGGCUGAAACUAUGAUGUUGAUCGGAGGGGGAGACCAAAGUU